Molecule: transfer RNA, 87 nt
Filed under: Thermotomaculum hydrothermale
Lineage: Bacteria; Pseudomonadati; Acidobacteriota; Holophagae; Thermotomaculales; Thermotomaculaceae
Description: tRNA-Leu
Rfam family: tRNA
About the family: Transfer RNA (tRNA) molecules are approximately 80 nucleotides in length. Their secondary structure includes four short double-helical elements and three loops (D, anti-codon, and T loops).
Source: RNAcentral
GCCCAGGUGGUGGAAUUGGCAGACACGCCAUCUUGAGGGGGUGGUGCUCUGUUGGGCGUGCGGGUUCGAAUCCCGCCCUGGGCACCA